This 478-nucleotide ribosomal RNA is filed under the name Sulcobasis sp. Crater. Its description in RNAcentral is "partial 12S ribosomal RNA". The record is from RNAcentral. Lineage: Eukaryota; Metazoa; Mollusca; Gastropoda; Stylommatophora; Camaenidae.
GUCAACUUUUAUAAGGAGAGCUAUUCUAGCAUAGUACAUAAAUAAAAUACAACCGUGGUGAAAUACGUCUUAAUUAUAACCAGUUACAUGCUUUAAUACUUAAAUGUUAAUAAUAAACAAGGAUUAGAGACCCUUCUAUAUAAACACAACUUGAUUCUGCUGAGUACUACAACUUUAAAAGUUAAAACUCAAACAACAUGGCGGUAAUUUCUAUUUAGGGGAACUUACUUAAUAAAUGAUAACCACCAAGGUAAGUAACUUUAGGACAAUUUUGUAUGCCGUCGUCAUCAGAUAACACUUGAUGUUUUAUCUUAAUAAUACAACUUAAAAAGACAGAUCAAGGUGCAGACAACCCUAAAGAUAAAGCGAGUUACAAUUACAAUUAUUAACAGACAUAUCAUGUUAAUGUAAUAUUAAAGAAGGACUUAAUAGUAAUGUGUAUUACCAAUACCACAUGAACUCUAGGGAUUGUGCACAA